Molecule: long non-coding RNA, 790 nt
Organism: Neopsephotus bourkii (Bourke's parrot)
Lineage: Eukaryota; Metazoa; Chordata; Aves; Psittaciformes; Psittacidae
Exons: 3
Source: RefSeq, a predicted model, not a curated record
AAAUAAGACACUUGACAGCUGCCCUCCUAGCAGGCUUUUACCCUAUGAGGGGAAAAAGUACCAAGAGGUUUUUGCAUAGUUCAAUUACUAGCACUUAACAUGCAUACUUUUUGAGCAGAAUUCUGUUUCACAUGGAAUAAACAACUGUGAACUAAAUCUUUGUUCUUAAAUAGUACCAAAGCUUUAGAACAUGGGUAAAAAACUAAACUCUUUAAAUAGUUUUAGCAGUUAUGUUACAAUAACUAGAUUACUGACAAAUACAACAUUGUGAUUCUACUUUUAUCAACAUUCAGGUAUUCAAGACAAUUCAGUAGUCUCAACAUGGAUCAGCUCAGAUCCCAUUAGUUAAGCAUGAUACCGGGGGACACUGUCUUCGUACCUGGAACGCUGGAAGAACCCGCACUACAGCAGAGAAGAAAAAGAACAGAUUAGAUUUAAGUUGUUGCCGAAGUACUACGAUUACAGAGAUAAGUUCUGCAUGGGCCUUUCAUACAUUACAUAGGACAGCCUGCAGGUGGCAGUGUCCGUACAGUUUAUCACAGACAACAUCCAGUGCUGUUAAACACUUCUAGCCUAUCACUUCAUGUCACAUCAAUUUAUGAAAGAGUAAGAACAUCCAAAUCUGCCCAGAAUUAAGCAUCUCAUGCUACUAUCUUAGCAAUUAAGCUACAAGUUAUCCUGAUCCAAAAAAUCUUACGUAUAAAUCCAUCAAAACAACUGAUGCCUUUGGAAAGGACCACAUCAGGUUAAGAAGAAUUAAACAACUGUUUCAAUCUAAAAGUGCUGAAGA